RNAcentral lists this ribosomal RNA (253 nucleotides) under uncultured bacterium. Its description in RNAcentral is "partial 16S ribosomal RNA". It matches the Rfam family "Bacterial small subunit ribosomal RNA", at positions 524 to 776 of the family's 1533-position model. The record is from RNAcentral.
GACGGAGGAUGCAAGUGUUAUCCGGAAUCACUGGGCGUAAAGCGUCUGUAGGUGGUUUAAUAAGUCAACUGUUAAAUCUUGAGGCUCAACCUCAAAAUCGCAGUCGAAACUAUUAGGCUAGAGUAUAGUAGGGGUAAAGGGAAUUUCCAGUGGAGCGGUGAAAUGCGUAGAGAUUGGAAAGAACACCGAUGGCGAAGGCACUUUACUGGGCUAUUACUAACACUCAGAGACGAAAGCUAGGGCAGCAAAUGGG